Molecule: ribosomal RNA, 730 nt
Filed under: uncultured bacterium
Lineage: Bacteria
Description: bacterial SSU rRNA
Rfam family: Bacterial small subunit ribosomal RNA
Source: RNAcentral
AACAGGAUUAGAUACCCUGGUAGUCCAUGCCGUAAACGAUGAGUGCUAGGUGUUGGAGGGUUUCCGCCCUUCAGUGCCGGAGCUAACGCAUUAAGCACUCCGCCUGGGGAGUACGACCGCAAGGUUGAAACUCAAAGGAAUUGACGGGGGCCCGCACAAGCGGUGGAGCAUGUGGUUUAAUUCGAAGCUACGCGAAGAACCUUACCAGGUCUUGACAUCUUGCGCUAACCUAAGAGAUUAGGCGUUCCCUUCGGGGACGCAAUGACAGGUGGUGCAUGGUCGUCGUCAGCUCGUGUCGUGAGAUGUUGGGUUAAGUCCCGCAACGAGCGCAACCCUUGUUACUAGUUGCCAGCAUUCAGUUGGGCACUCUAGUGAGACUGCCGGUGACAAACCGGAGGAAGGUGGGGAUGACGUCAGAUCAUCAUGCCCCUUAUGACCUGGGCUACACACGUGCUACAAUGGUCGGUACAACGAGUCGCUAACCCGCGAGGGCAAGCUAAUCUCUUAAAGCCGAUCUCAGUUCGGACUGUAGGCUGCAACUCGCCUACACGAAGUCGGAAUCGCUAGUAAUCGCGGAUCAGCAUGCCGCGGUGAAUACGUUCCCGGGCCUUGUACACACCGCCCGUCACACCAUGGAAGUUUGUAACGCCCAAAGUCGGUGGCCUAACCAUUUGGAGGGAGCCGCCUAAGGCGGGACAGAUGACUGGGGUGAAGUCGUAACAAGGUAACC